CCUACGGGAGGCUGCAGUGGGGAAUAUUGGACAAUGGGGGGAACCCUGAUCCAGCCAUGCCGCGUGUGUGAAGAAGGCCCUCGGGUUGUAAAGCACUUUCAGUGAGGAAGAACGCCUGGUGGUUAAUACCCAUCAGGAAAGACAUCACUCACAGAAGAAGCACCGGCUAACUCCGUGCCAGCAGCCGCGGUAAUACGGAGGGUGGCGAGCGUUAAUCGGAAUUACUGGGCGUAAAGCGCGCGUAGGUGGCUUGAUAAGCCGGUUGUGAAAGCCCCGGGCUCAACCUGGGAACGGCAUCCGGAACUGUCAAGCUAGAGUGCAGGAGAGGAAGGUAGAAUUCCCGGUGUAGCGGUGAAAUGCGUAGAGAUCGGGAGGAAUACCAGUGGCGAAGGCGGCCUUCUGGACUGACACUGACACUGAGGUGCGAAAGCGUGGGUAGCAAACAGGAUUAGUACCCCGGUAGUC
RNAcentral lists this ribosomal RNA (465 nucleotides) under Vreelandella stevensii. Its description in RNAcentral is "partial 16S ribosomal RNA". It matches the Rfam family "Bacterial small subunit ribosomal RNA", at positions 338 to 795 of the family's 1533-position model. The record is from RNAcentral. Lineage: Bacteria; Pseudomonadati; Pseudomonadota; Gammaproteobacteria; Oceanospirillales; Halomonadaceae.